This 210-nucleotide ribosomal RNA is filed under the name Triticum aestivum (bread wheat). Its description in RNAcentral is "partial small subunit ribosomal RNA". The record is from RNAcentral. Lineage: Eukaryota; Viridiplantae; Streptophyta; Magnoliopsida; Poales; Poaceae.
AUGAUGAAGCUCGCGAUGUGGUGUUUGCAGAUUGACUGCAAAGGAAGGCCUAAAAUGUCCGAGGUGGUCAAAGUCUUGGAAGGUACCAUGGAUGCAGAGAGCAACAUAGAUCAUAACUUUGUCGCAACAAAUGAACCAAAUUUCGGUAUUGCUGGAAAUGUGAACUCUUCAGCUCCACCUGUAGCCUCAGAUGUAUCAGCUCCAAGGUGA